ACCAUCAGGAAACUUGAUUUUGAUGCUGAGAAACUUGGGAGGAGCACGUGGUUGUAGGCAGACCUCGAGUCCCGGGGGCAGGACAUGCAGCCCAGGACAGUGGGGCACCUGGCCGGGCCUCCCUGGGGCUCCAAAGUCCCGGAUGCAACUGCCCCCACUUCCCGGGGUGGGGGGGCUCGGCCACAGGAGCCCUGCAGAGCUGGUGCCACCUUGGGGGCGUCUUCUUUUCUUUUACGAGUAACUGUCGGACUUUUCCCAUGGGUCCUGCUCCAGUUUCAGAGAUGGGACGUCCGGUGGCUCCUAGGCCAUUGUCACUUUCACCCUUGACCAGGGCAAAGGAUACUGGCCAUAGAGUUCCCAUGGGGGUGCCGUGAGUUAAGAAUCCGACUGCAGCGGCUUGGGUUGCCUAGGAGGGGAAGGUUCAAUCCCCAGCCCGGGCAGUGGGUUAGAAGGAUCUGGUUUGCCAGGACUUCAGUGCAGGUCACAGCUGUGGCUCAGAUUCAGUCUCUGGCCCGGGAACUUCCAUGUGUCGUAAAAUUAAAAACAGCCACCACAACAAAACCCAGGGUGCUGGCCAGACCCUGACCCUCUGCAGGGGCCCCAGGGCCCAAGGUCCUGAGGGGCAGAAACGGACACCUGCCCGUAAGGAAGGGCCUUGGUCCCGCUUCGCCAGAGGCCACGCCCGUAGCACCUGAGCGGGGGCCCGGGGUGGGGGGGCCGGGGCCCCGACGGCCCGACGGACGGAGCACCUGUGCUGGGGGUGGGGUUGACCUUCCCGGAGCCUUCGGCCCGAGGCGCAGGGUGUCUGCCCCCCCCCUCACCAUCCAGCCUGACCCCCUGCAUCACACCUGCUGGUCUGCUUCCACCCUGGGUGGGGGGAGGUUACGGGGCGAGUUGUGUCCCCGCCAAGUUCAUAUGUGGCAUCCUAAGCCCUCGUACCUCGCAUGUGAUCGCACUGGGAGAAGGGGCUUCGCAAUGGGAGCGAAGUUAUUCAGCUCGCGGGGGGGGUCACCCCGCAUCUCAAGGGAUCCUAAAUCCAGGGACAAGUCCUCGCGGAGGAGAAGACUCGGGGCGACUGGUCACAUGAGGACGAAGGCCGAGGCCCAGGGGUGCUUGUCCAAGCCAGGAACCCACAGGUCACCGGAAACCACCAGGAACUCGGAGGAGGCCUGGACCAGACUCUCGCUGGCGGCCCUGGGAGCCGGCCGAGCCUGCACUUGACCUUCUGGACUUGCAGCCUCCAGGCUGUUAGCAAACAAACAAUGCGGUCUGGUUCGCCCAGGCCGAGCUGACGAAGGCCCUGAGACUUGGGUCCUGUUGUCCCCGGCUGUCCGGCAAUGACUGCCCUCCAGGCACCUUUGGGGGCUGAGAUCCUAAGUCCACACCCUUGGCAGUGCUCCCCCGAGUCCGACUUCUGCGGCCUCGCCCAGCCCUUGACGAGGUCCUGCAGCUUCCUCUGUGUCUUGUCUAAACCAGCUCAGGAUUGUGGCAGCCUUGGCCCCGCAGGGGGAGGUGGGGCAGAAUUCCACCCCAUUACAUGGACAGAAGCCACGAGGGAGGGUUCGCCGGCUGGGUCGAGCUGCCUGGGCUGCAGGGGUCCCCGUCAUUUGGAACCCACACUUAUUCUGUGUAUGUUCGUAUUUCUGGGGGAGCUUCGCAUUUGAGUGAGUAGACUGAAUAAAGCAGAUGGCCUGCCCCAGCCUGAUGGGCCUUACCCAAUCAGUUGAAGGCCCGGAACAAAAGGCUGAGUAAGAGGGGACCCCUCCAGCCUGACGAAGGAGCUGAGAUAGUCUUUCCCUGCCUUCUGACUCAGACUGAAAUUUGGGCCCUUCCCCGUCUCGAGCCCGCUGGCUUUUGGGCUGGAACUCAUGCCAUCUGCUCCCUUGGGCCCCCAAGCCGCCGACCACAGGUCGCCGACUCCUCAGCCUCCGUCACUGCGUGAGCCAGUCCUUGUCAGCAGUGUCCUUGUACGUACACACAGUCCAUCGGUUCUGUUUCUCUAGAGAACCCUGAUGAAUUUCUCCAAGAGUCUGACACCCGCAGGGGACCGCGUUUCCAUCCUCGGAGCCAGGUGUGCGGGAUCCGGGGAGGACGGGCUCCUGGCCUUCUUCUCCAGCGCAGCCCGGUCCAUCCCAGGUGGGCCAACACCCUGCACCCCGCUGGCCUCCCAUCCCAGCAACCUCCGCCCCAGCCGUGAGUGGGCAAGGCCAUUGUCACCCCUCGGGACUUGUCAGCCUCUGAGACUGAAGAUCCCGGGCUCCCCUCUGUUGGCCUUGGCUCACCCCCCGCCCCGUGUGUGUCUCACACCCGCUUUGUCCGGACACCUCCUGGCCCACUGCUCCCGCCUUCGUGUCUUAGCCGGCAGUCCUCGUGCUGACCUGUCCCUUGCCCCUGUCCUUUGAGUCGGAAUGGACACCGGGGGCCUUGCCAUUAAGUCAUUGUACCCCGGUGUUUCUGAGUCAGGAGGCCCGGGGUGGGGCCUGAGAUUUGCAUUUCUACCUUGUCCAGGGGCUGCUGCUGGCCCAGGGACCACACUUUAAACCAGACUCUCUCUUUUUUUUGUUUGUUUUUGUUUUUUUUAGGGCCGUACUCCCAACAUAUGGAGGUUCCCAGGCUAGGGGUCCAGUCGGAGCUACAGCUUCCGGCCCUGCACCACAGGCACAGCCACGCCAGAUCCGAGCCGUGUCUGCAAUCUACACCAUAGCUCAUGGCAACGCCAGCUCCUUAACCCACUGAGCAAGGCCAGAGAUCAAACCUGCAACCUCAUGGCUCCUAGUCGGAUUCAUUUCCACUGUGCCAUGAUGGGAACUCUGCAACUAGACUGUCUUGGUAACAAAUACGCCCUGAGGAGUUCCUGUUGCAGCUCAGCUGUGAUGAACCUGACUGGUAUCCAUGAGGAUGCGGGUUCGAUCCCUGGCCUCGCUCAGUGGGUUAAGGAUCCAGUGCUUCUGUGAGCUAUGGUGUAGGUCUCAGCGGUGGCUCGGAUCUGGUGUUGCUGUGGCUGUGCUGUAGGCCGGCAGCUGCAGCUCCAAUGCAAUCCCUAGCCUGGGGACCUCCAUGUGCCGUGGGUGCAGGCC
This 3077-nucleotide long non-coding RNA is filed under the name Sus scrofa (pig). RNAcentral describes it as "lncRNA (ENSSSCG00000057305.1)". Lineage: Eukaryota; Metazoa; Chordata; Mammalia; Artiodactyla; Suidae. The record is from RNAcentral.